This 465-nucleotide ribosomal RNA is filed under the name uncultured bacterium. Its description in RNAcentral is "partial 16S ribosomal RNA". It matches the Rfam family "Bacterial small subunit ribosomal RNA", at positions 339 to 795 of the family's 1533-position model. The record is from RNAcentral.
CUACGGGUGGCACCAGUGGGGAAUAUUGCGCAAUGGGCGAAAGCCUGACGCAGCAACGCCGUGUGAGGGAUGAAGGCUUUCGGGUCGUAAACCUCUGUCAGAAGGGAAGAACGGGUAUUGGUCUAAUAGGCCUUUAUUUUGACGGUACCUUCAGAGGAAGCACCGGCUAACUCCGUGCCAGCAGCCGCGGUAAUACGGAGGGUGCAAGCGUUAUUCGGAAUUACUGGGCGUAAAGCGCACGUAGGCCGCUUUGUAAGUCAGGGGUGAAAUCCCACGGCUCAACCGGGGAACUGCCUUUGAAGCUGCAGAGCUUGAAUCCUGGAGAGGGUGGCGGAAUUCCUGGUGUAGGAGUGAAAUCCGUAGAUAUCAGGAGGAACACCGGUGGCGAAGGCGGCCACCUGGACAGGUAUUGACGCUGAGGUGCGAAAGUGUGGGGAGCAAACAGGAUUAGAUACCCUGGUAGUC